This 153-nucleotide ribosomal RNA is filed under the name uncultured bacterium gp3. RNAcentral describes it as "partial 16S ribosomal RNA". It matches the Rfam family "Bacterial small subunit ribosomal RNA", at positions 355 to 525 of the family's 1533-position model. The record is from RNAcentral.
UGGGGAAUCUUGCACAAUGGGGGAAACCCUGAUGCAGCGACGCCGCGUGAGCGAUGAAGCCCUUCGGGGUGUAAAGCUCUUUCGACAGGAACGAUUAUGACGGUACCUGGAGAAGAAGCUGCGGCUAACUACGUGCCAGCAGCCGCGGUAAUA